UACGUAGGGUGCAAGCGUUGUCCGGAAUUAUUGGGCGUAAAGAGCUCGUAGGCGGUCUGUUGCGUCGGCUGUGAAAACCCGGGGCUCAACUCCGGGCCUGCAGCCGAUACGGGCAGACUAGAGUUCGGCAGGGGAGACUGGAAUUCCUGGUGUAGCAGUGAAAUGCGUAGAUAUCAGGAGGAACACCGAUGGCGAAGGCAGGUCUCUGGGCUGACACUGACGCUCAUGCACGAAAGCGUGGGGAGCAAACAGG
RNAcentral lists this ribosomal RNA (253 nucleotides) under uncultured bacterium. RNAcentral's name for it is "partial 16S ribosomal RNA". It matches the Rfam family "Bacterial small subunit ribosomal RNA", at positions 524 to 776 of the family's 1533-position model. The record is from RNAcentral.